GACGAACGCUGGCGGCGUGCUUAACACAUGCAAGUCGAGCGGUAAGGCCCUUUCGGGGGUACGACGAGCGGCGAACGGGUGAGUAACACGUGGGUGACCUGCCCUUAGCUCUGGGAUAAGCCUGGGAAACUGGGUCUAAUACCGGAUAUGACUCCAUGACGCAUGUUGUGGGGUGGAAAGCCUUGUGCGGCUAGGGAUGGGCCCGCGGCCUAUCAGCUUGUUGGUGGGGUGAUGGCCACCAAGGCGACGACGGGUAGCCGGCCUGAGAGGGCGACCGGCCACACUGGGACGUGAGACACGGCCCACGACUCCUACGGGAGGCAGCAGUGGGGAAUCUUGCGCAAUGGGCGAAAGCCUGACGCAGCGACGCCGCGUGAGGGAUGACGGCCU
Molecule: ribosomal RNA, 390 nt
Filed under: uncultured bacterium
Lineage: Bacteria
Description: bacterial SSU rRNA
Rfam family: Bacterial small subunit ribosomal RNA
Source: RNAcentral